RNAcentral lists this ribosomal RNA (591 nucleotides) under uncultured Arcobacter sp. RNAcentral's name for it is "bacterial SSU rRNA". It matches the Rfam family "Bacterial small subunit ribosomal RNA", at positions 64 to 677 of the family's 1533-position model. The record is from RNAcentral. Lineage: Bacteria; Pseudomonadati; Campylobacterota; Epsilonproteobacteria; Campylobacterales; Arcobacteraceae.
AGAUUAGCUUGCUAUAUUUGUCAGCUAAGUGGCGCACGGGUGAGUAAUGUAUAGAUAACCUGCCCUCUAGAAAGGAAUAACAGUUGGAAACGACUGCUAAUGCCCUAUAUGCCUUUAAUACAUAAGUAUGCAAGGGAAACGCUUUAGUGCUAGAGGAUGGGUCUGUAUGGUAUCAGCUUGUUGGUGAGGUAAUGGCUCACCAAGGCUAUGACGCCUAACUGGUUUGAGAGGAUGAUCAGUCACACUGGAACUGAGACACGGUCCAGACUCCUACGGGAGGCAGCAGUGGGGAAUAUUGCACAAUGGACGAAAGUCUGAUGCAGCAACGCCGCGUGGAGGAUGACACAUUUCGGUGCGUAAACUCCUUUUAUAUAGGAAGAUAAUGACGGUACUAUAUGAAUAAGCACCGGCUAACUCCGUGCCAGCAGCCGCGGUAAUACGGAGGGUGCAAGCGUUACUCGGAAUCACUGGGCGUAAAGAGCGUGUAGGCGGGUAUAUAAGUCAGAAGUGAAAUCCUAUAGCUUAACUAUAGAACUGCUUUUGAAACUGUAUACCUAGAAUGUGGGAGAGGUAGAUGGAAUUUCUGGUGUA